GCCCGCGUAGCUCAGUUGGAUAGAGCAUUGCUUUCCUAAAGCAGAGGUCGCAGGUUCGAGUCCUGCCGCGGGUG
This 74-nucleotide transfer RNA is filed under the name Phycisphaerales bacterium. Its description in RNAcentral is "tRNA-Arg". It matches the Rfam family "tRNA". Rfam says of the family: Transfer RNA (tRNA) molecules are approximately 80 nucleotides in length. Their secondary structure includes four short double-helical elements and three loops (D, anti-codon, and T loops). Further hydrogen bonds mediate the characteristic L-shaped molecular structure. tRNAs have two regions of fundamental functional importance: the anti-codon, which is responsible for specific mRNA codon recognition, and the 3' end, to which the tRNAs corresponding amino acid is attached (by aminoacyl-tRNA synthetases). tRNAs cope with the degeneracy of the genetic code in two manners: having more than one tRNA (with a specific anti-codon) for a particular amino acid; and 'wobble' base-pairing, i.e. permitting non-standard base-pairing at the 3rd anti-codon position. The record is from RNAcentral. Lineage: Bacteria; Pseudomonadati; Planctomycetota; Phycisphaerae; Phycisphaerales.